Molecule: long non-coding RNA, 1148 nt
Organism: Malania oleifera
Lineage: Eukaryota; Viridiplantae; Streptophyta; Magnoliopsida; Santalales; Ximeniaceae
Exons: 2
Source: RefSeq, a predicted model, not a curated record
GGGGAGCGCCGAGGGGGGGGGGGGGGGGGGGGGGGGGGGGUGGUGGUGUGGAGACCAAACAAAAAAAGAAGAAAUAACCCAAGCCCCCCAUUGCUCGAUCGGCAGCCGCCCAUCUCUCUCUCUCUCUCUCUCAACUCCCUUACCUCCCCGAGCUCUCUCCCAUCUCUCAGUUCCCUCCGGCAACAUCUCCUUGCUUUCAUUCUCUCCCUUUUCUCUCCUCCUUCUCUAAACUCCCCUAACUCUCGACUUUCAGUUUCUCUGUUCUUAGUCCCUCUUUCUCUCCCUUAUCCCUAGAUUUCCCUCUUUUCUUCUCCUUCACUGCUGCACAGCCCCGCCACCAGGUUCCCUCCAGUCCGUGCACCAGCAGCCCCAUCUCCCUCUGGAACUCUCGGCCACCUUCAGGCCCUCCGUAGCUGCAAUCAAGGCACUAGAAGACACCAGCAGCCACUAGGCCAGACUACCCUCCACAGCCAUCAACCUCCAGCUCCGCCGAAUACGCCAUCUGAUUCAUCUGCUCCGGCCAUGCAUCAACCAAUCUAGAAGACAGCUGCAGCCGGCAGCACCUGAAGCUAGAAGCCCCGACCUCACAACAACAGGCCAACCACCACCACCAACCCGAGCCACUCCACCACCCAAGACCAGGACUCCUCCAUCGGUCGGCAAAACACAAAGCAGCUAAAGAAGGAGCUAGCCACCUGAGUGCCACUUACACCAACCACCGUCGCCCUCUGCCAGUCGAACCCAGCGAACCCCUGACAGCUUCAAUCUUCAUCACAGAUCUCUCCUUGCAACCGCCUCGCCUCCAAGCCUCUCCUCGUCUGAACUCUCCUACAAGUCCAACGAAAGUAGCAUUGCCGCAGCACCGUUGCCGAACACUCACUUCUGCUCAGGCAACCCAAGGAAUCUGAAAAAGCCAAACUCAACAAAGUUUCGAAAGAUCACCAACAAGCUUAAAGGUGUAUGUUGUGUCAUGAAGUGAUCAAAUCGGGAAGCACAAAGACAUCUGAAGAAGAAAUGAACCUAAAGCUUCAAGAGGAUCAUGAAGUUUCAAAGAACAAGAAAUGUUCAUAUUGUUAGGAAAUCUUCAUAUAAGUACUUCAAAGUUAAAAAUGUAACUGUGAAUGAAAUGAAGCUCAUUAGGGGAUAAA